GAAAAGAGAGUCACCUUCUCCAGCACCCAAGCCUAGAAAAGUGGAGCUGUCUGAGUCUGAGGAAGACAAAGGCAGCAAAAUGGCUGCAGCUGAUUCUGUGCAGCAGAGGCGACAAUAUAGACGACAGAACCAGCAGUCUUCAUCUGACUCUGGCUCCUCUUCCACCUCAGAAGAUGAGCGGCCCAAGAGAUCCCAUGUGAAGAAUGGUGAGGUAGGCAGGCGGCGGAGACAUUCUCCUUCUCGGAGUGCCUCUCCAUCACCUCGAAAGCGCCAAAAAGAGACUUCCCCUCGGAUGCAGAUGGGAAAGCGAUGGCAGUCGCCAGUGACUAAAAGUAGUAGAAGGAGGAGAAGUCCUUCCCCACCUCCUGCCAGAAGACGACGAUCUCCUUCUCCAGCCCCUCCUCCCCCUCCUCCCCCACCUCCUCGGCGGCGCAGAUCUCCCACCCCACCACCACGACGAAGGACCCCUUCUCCUCCCCCACGCCGCCGCUCACCGUCUCCAAGAAGAUACUCUCCUCCCAUCCAGAGGAGAUACUCUCCUUCCCCACCUCCAAAGAGGAGAACUGCCUCGCCCCCACCCCCACCCAAGCGAAGGGCAUCGCCAUCUCCUCCACCAAAGCGCCGGGUUUCCCACUCUCCACCUCCUAAACAAAGAAGCCCCCCAGUCACCAAGAGACGCUCACCCUCCUUAUCUUCAAAGCAUAGGAAAGGGUCUUCCCCAGGCCGCUCCACUCGGGAGGCCCGGUCACCACAACCAAACAAAAGGCACUCGCCCUCACCACGACCUCGGGCGCCUCAGACCUCAAGCCCUCCCCCUGUUCGAAGAGGAGCUUCAGCGUCUCCCCAAGGAAGGCAGUCCCCGUCUCCGAGUACUAGGCCUAUUAGGAGAGUCUCCAGGACUCCGGAACCCAAAAAGAUAAAAAAGGCUGCCUCACCAAGCCCUCAGUCCGUAAGA
Molecule: long non-coding RNA, 955 nt
Filed under: Rattus norvegicus (Norway rat)
Lineage: Eukaryota; Metazoa; Chordata; Mammalia; Rodentia; Muridae
Description: long non-coding RNA NONRATT023712
Source: RNAcentral